RNAcentral lists this long non-coding RNA (301 nucleotides) under Elaeis guineensis (African oil palm). RNAcentral describes it as "long non-coding RNA (EGUI_LNC080981)". The record is from RNAcentral. Lineage: Eukaryota; Viridiplantae; Streptophyta; Magnoliopsida; Arecales; Arecaceae.
UGCCGACUAUGUGCUGUCCUCACCUAUCUCAGUCAUGGUCCAAGUCCAGUGUGGCCCACAUACACUUUGAGCAGCCGUUAUCCAAGUUGUAAAUAUUAUUAUUUUGCACUUUUCCAGCCAGGGCAGUUAUACAUCCCUUAGGAGCGGUUAGCACAGUGACAUCCUCCAGAGUACACGUGUGCACAGGGCCAAAAUUCAGCUUGCUUGGCACGUGACAUUUUCUGGCCUCCACAACGAACAUUAGAUUAGACCCACUUGAAUCAGGGUUAUCACGGAUGCAUACUUUUCUAAAACUUGAUGC